Molecule: small nuclear RNA, 267 nt
Filed under: Oryctolagus cuniculus (rabbit)
Lineage: Eukaryota; Metazoa; Chordata; Mammalia; Lagomorpha; Leporidae
Description: 7SK RNA
Rfam family: 7SK RNA
About the family: 7SK was discovered as an abundant small nuclear RNA in the mid-70s but a possible function has only recently been suggested. Two independent studies have found that 7SK RNA binds the CDK9/cyclin T complex (known as elongation factor P-TEFb).
Source: Rfam by way of RNAcentral
AGAUGUGAGAGCAAUCUGGCUGAGACAUCUGUCCAUCCUUUCUUAUCCGCAGUGAUUCUAACUGAUCUGACUGCUAAAGACAAUGUUCCCCUUUUUUCCUCACUGCUCUGUGUGUGCCCGUCCACCUGAAGCUGAAUGUAUGGGAACCCUGGCAAACGAACGGGAAGGGAAUCCAUGGCCUUGAUGUUGUGUAAACCAAAAGAAAGGGUCUCAUAAUGUAAAGAUACAUUUUAAAAAUGUGACAUACAUAUGCAAUGGAGUAUCAUU